Molecule: ribosomal RNA, 477 nt
Filed under: uncultured Oceanospirillaceae bacterium
Lineage: Bacteria; Pseudomonadati; Pseudomonadota; Gammaproteobacteria; Oceanospirillales; Oceanospirillaceae
Description: bacterial SSU rRNA
Rfam family: Bacterial small subunit ribosomal RNA
Source: RNAcentral
GGCGGACGGGUGAGUAACGCGUAGGAAUCUACCUAAUGGUGGGGGAUAGCCCAGGGAAACUUGGAUUAAUACCGCAUAAGUCCUAAGGGAGAAAGCGGGGGAUCUUCGGACCUCGUGCCAUUAGAUGAGCCUGCGUAAGAUUAGCUAGUUGGUGAGGUAAGAGCUCACCAAGGCGACGAUCUUUAGCUGGUCUGAGAGGAUGAUCAGCCACACUGGGACUGAGACACGGCCCAGACUCCUACGGGAGGCAGCAGUGGGGAAUAUUGGACAAUGGGGGCAACCCUGAUCCAGCCAUGCCGCGUGUGUGAAGAACGCCUUCGGGUUGUAAAGCACUUUCAGAUGUGAGGAAAGGUUGCAGAUUAAUACUCUGUAGCUGUGACGUUAACAUCAGAAGAAGGACCGGCUAACUCCGUGCCAGCAGCCGCGGUAAUACGGAGGGUCCGAGCGUUAAUCGGAAUUACUGGGCGUAAAGCGCGC